UAAAUUCUGAAAUAUUUGUGAAGCUCUUAUUUUGAACCUACAGCAUUGAGCCGGGAGUUCAAAAUAUAGAUGUGGAUUUGACUUAUAAGACCUAUUGUAUGAUAUUCAUCUAGGCAAGGUCUUCGAAGCAGUAUUGAGGACACCCACCUAUCUGAGAGAUAGGUGUCAAAAUUAGAGCAACGGUAUUUUGGAUUAUAG
RNAcentral lists this non-coding RNA (198 nucleotides) under Clostridium simiarum. Its description in RNAcentral is "Clostridium sp. MSJ-4 6S RNA". It matches the Rfam family "6S / SsrS RNA". Rfam says of the family: E. coli 6S RNA was the first non coding RNA to be sequenced, but its function was unknown until recently. It consists of 184 nucleotides that fold into an extended hairpin structure with a large single-stranded internal bulge. The record is from RNAcentral. Lineage: Bacteria; Bacillati; Bacillota; Clostridia; Eubacteriales; Clostridiaceae.